CAGGUGAUCCGCCCGCUUUGGCCUCCCAAAGUAUUGAGGUUACAGGCAUGAGCCACCACACCCGACAGUGAGAAGCUUUUUGAAACAAGCAACCCUCUCUUCUCCUUUGUAAAUGCCACCUAUAAGCAACAAUUUUCAGAGUAGGAGCUUAAUAUAGGCUGACGGUUGGAGUGAAAGACUGCUCAAUACUGAGAGGGAACAUAGCAUUGAAGAAGGCUUUCUUUGAGUAAAGGGAAUUAGAAGAGGGAUUAAGCCAAAAAAAUGUAAUGUCAUGGAGACCACACAGAAGAUGGGAGCCUUCACACGCAGGGUGAAAUACGGCAGUGGCUGUGCUGUCAGGCUAGACCAAAAAACUAUUAUCCCAUUAAAAUGCUUCUCCUCUGGCUCCUUUGCAAGGUGGCAGAGCUGUAAAAAUGUUGUGCAUUAUUUCCUGGCAAAUCAUGAUGGAAAUGCUGUGGAAUUGUGCAUGAGAACUUAAAGGAUUCAUCACGGUUUAUUCCAUUAAAAUAAACACCAAAGAAAGUAAUAAUGAGACUAGUAAAGAACUACAAUACCUUGGAGUCCCACGAGCAUUUUAUGACACAAGGAGCCCACGAAACAGAUUGGAAAAAGGGGAAAGCCUGCAGAAUAGAUGGCAACUUCACUAACAUCUUUAUUUAUUUUUUAAAAAUUGUAUCUAUUCCUAUGCUCUAAUGAUCUAGAAUUUUCAGCGAAUCCCUGGGAAACUUAAAGAAUGCUGUGAGAGCAUUCUUGUUUAAAUAUUUAAGAAAAGAGACAUUUACUUUCAUAAAGAAGAACAUAUGGCCUUGUUUGUUACUGUGAAUCCUUGGUUCUAACUACUGCUGUCACCCAGGCAUGUGUUCCCAACAUUAACCUUUGUCUGAACUAUUCUUAUCCCUAUGUAGGUGUAUUCUAUAUCUGCAUCUUCCAUUAAGCCUUCAACUACCAUUUAACACACACACACACACACUCUCACACACACACACACACGCACACACAAAUUGGCCCCCAAGUAUUUUUAGGUUUCAAGCCUCUUGUUUUUCACAUGUUAGACUCAUGGACCUUAUAUUUAAGUAUAUUUUCUGCACCUGCUGUCUGCCCAGAUCUCUCCCUUAAUUGACCUGAGGUCUCUCCUCUCUCUGAUGCUGAAGGGUCUGCUUAGGGUGAAAGGAUUUUCUAUACUGUGGUGAUUACAAAAAUGUAUGAUUGAAGUUUAUUAUAUGUCAAUGAUGUCCUGGUUUUUUAAUAACGGGAUUUAUCCUAAUAACCUUGAAAUAAAUAAAAUACAACAUUCA
Molecule: non-coding RNA, 1295 nt
Organism: Macaca mulatta (Rhesus monkey)
Lineage: Eukaryota; Metazoa; Chordata; Mammalia; Primates; Cercopithecidae
Source: RefSeq, a predicted model, not a curated record